This 66-nucleotide transfer RNA is filed under the name Astalotermes sp. BDIT120. RNAcentral describes it as "tRNA-Pro". Lineage: Eukaryota; Metazoa; Arthropoda; Insecta; Blattodea; Termitidae. The record is from RNAcentral.
CAGGGGAUAUUUUAUAUAAAAUAUUAGUUUUGGGGAUUAAUGAAAUGGAUUUAACCUUUCCUCUGA